This 476-nucleotide ribosomal RNA is filed under the name uncultured bacterium. RNAcentral describes it as "bacterial SSU rRNA". It matches the Rfam family "Bacterial small subunit ribosomal RNA", at positions 328 to 793 of the family's 1533-position model. The record is from RNAcentral.
UGACAGUACUCCUACGGGGAGGCAGCAGUGGGGGAAUAUUGCACAAUGGGCGCAAGCCUGAUGCAGCCAUGCCGCGUGUGUGAAGAAGGCCUUCGGGUUGUAAAGCACUUUCAGUCGUGAGGAAGGUAGUGUAGUUAAUAGCUGCAUUAUUUGACGUUAGCGACAGAAGAAGCACCGGCUAACUCCGUGCCAGCAGCCGCGGUAAUACGGAGGGUGCGAGCGUUAAUCGGAAUUACUGGGCGUAAAGCGCAUGCAGGUGGUUUGUUAAGUCAGAUGUGAAAGCCCGGGGCUCAACCUCGGAAUAGCAUUUGAAACUGGCAGACUAGAGUACUGUAGAGGGGGGUAGGAAUUUCAGGUGUAGCGGUGAAAUGCGUAGAGAUCUGAAGGAAUACCGGUGGCGAAGGCGGCCCCCUGGACAGAUACUGACACUCAGAUGCGAAAGCGUGGGGAGCAAACAGGAUUAGAUACCCUGGUAG